RNAcentral lists this unclassified non-coding RNA (265 nucleotides) under Hevea brasiliensis (rubber tree). The record is from RNAcentral. Lineage: Eukaryota; Viridiplantae; Streptophyta; Magnoliopsida; Malpighiales; Euphorbiaceae.
GAUCCAGUGUCUCUAAUCGACUUCCCCAACACCCUAACUCCCAACAGGAAUUCAUCUCCAUACAAUAGCGUCACGUAAGCCUGUUCAGUUCUCUGCGAUCGAAGCGAAGCUCCAGAUUGAAUCCAAACUAACGCGAGUAACAAAAACAGAGCUCCAAAUUUUGAUAAUUUCAUCAUAUAAUUUUCUUUUCUAAUAGCAACUUUGGAUGAGAAAACUCGGAUUUUCUCGAGGAAAUUAAAAAAAAAUAAAAAAAAGAAGAAUAAUC